AUGUACAUAUACAUGAGUCAAAAUAAACAAACAAGAGGGAGCCUUCACAAAGGUUGCUUAGGAGAAGUCUCAGCAGUGAUAGGAGCAUAUUUAUGCGACUUAGUUAGCUUGUUCUUGUGCAUUUACGUUGUAUUUCCUUAGUUAUUUUAGUGUUUAAAGUUAUUUUUGUGUGUUUUCAGACUCUAAGUACAAAGUAUGCAAGAAGAUGCAUUUUGGAGGCCUUUGGAGCAUGUUUCGGGCUUGGAAUGGAUAGCAAAUGCAUGGGCCAAGUGGAUGGACGAAUUUGAGAACUAAAGAGGCCAAGAAUAUGAAGAAUUAUGGUCCAAAAGAUGAAGAAAACAGCCCAAAAAUCUGUCACCCCAACUUGCAUUCCUUGCCAUGCAAACCACAUAGAAUUCCCUUUGGAUUCCAUGCCAUGCUUGAUCACUCUUGUCCCCUACAUAAUUUCUAAUUUCAUGCUUCAAUUCAUUUAAUUAUUACACUCAAUUGCUUGAUACCUCUUGUUCCCUUCACUCAUUAGAUUUUAGACAAACAUUUACAUCCAUUACAUGCACCAAUUGAUGCUCCAUCAUUCACAUUUGGAAUCCAAUGCCAUGUGCAACACAUGUUGUUGCACCUUUGACCCAUUUGUUGACACAUUUCACCUCCUUUUCCAUCUCUAUGCAAUGUACACAAUCAUUCAUGCUCCCUAGCUACAACACCACUCCAUUUUACCCUUCACACUUUGCAUCAUUACUUCAUUUUCACCCUUGGACCAUUGCACACCACACACACAAAUUGCCAUGCAUUUCAUCCUUAACCUAACCUUAUUUUCUAAGGUUUUUGGGGCCUAUAAAUACAUGUUUACACCCCUUGGCCAAAGGACAAUCCCCCAUAUUCAUCAUUUUAUCACAAAAAUUCGUCCAUACACACCCUAGGAAGCAAAACACCCCAAAAACACCAUUCUAGUGCCUAGAAAACAUAACAACCACUCCACCUUCUUCCACCCUCUUUGCCUAGUUCUCCACCACCCUCCAACCCUCAAACACUCCUCCACACUUACCCUAAACCUUUCCAUACCAUUCCCCAUCCAUUCUACACCAUAAAAACCACCCAAAACCGUCCAAAACCUCUAGUGCCGCUGCUUGCAAGGAAGGAAAGGGAAGGAACAUCUUGUGCCGUGCCUAUGCCCAAGCCUUGGGAGUGUUGGAGCGUUUCUAGGUGUUUUCUAUCUUUGUUUUUAAUGUCUAAAUUUAUGCAUCUUUGCUUUGUAAGUAUGAGGAACUAAACCCCUCUUAGUUAGGGGGUGAUUCGAAACUAUGUUCAUGCUUGCAAUAUGAUUUGAUUACAUCCAGUUGUGAUUCAUAAGUUGUGAAUUCAAUUUACUUAUCCGUUCAUAUAAAAACUAAUUUGUGUAUGUUGGUUAAGAGUGCACGCUUAAUUUUCAUGCAUGAAUUUGACGCUAGAAUAUAAGGGAGUUUCACCUAAUCGUUAUAAACUUAUAUUCACAAGUAGUGAAGGUUGC
This 1504-nucleotide small RNA is filed under the name Malus domestica (apple). RNAcentral describes it as "sRNA MD08G0090500". The record is from RNAcentral. Lineage: Eukaryota; Viridiplantae; Streptophyta; Magnoliopsida; Rosales; Rosaceae.